GUUGUUGGUGAAGAAGGAUAGAGGCAGUAACUGGUCUUUAUUUGACGGUAAUCAACCAGAAAGUCACGGCUAACUACGUGCCAGCAGCCGCGGUAAUACGUAGGUGGCAAGCGUUGUCCGGAUUUAUUGGGCGUAAAGCGAGCGCAGGCGGAAUGAUAAGUCUGAUGUGAAAGCCCACGGCUCAACCGUGGAACUGCAUCGGAAACUGUCAUUCUUGAGUGCAGAAGAGGAGAGUGGAAUUCCAUGUGUAGCGGUGGAA
RNAcentral lists this ribosomal RNA (259 nucleotides) under Lactobacillus delbrueckii. Its description in RNAcentral is "partial 16S ribosomal RNA". It matches the Rfam family "Bacterial small subunit ribosomal RNA", at positions 434 to 686 of the family's 1533-position model. The record is from RNAcentral. Lineage: Bacteria; Bacillati; Bacillota; Bacilli; Lactobacillales; Lactobacillaceae.